Molecule: ribosomal RNA, 465 nt
Filed under: uncultured bacterium
Lineage: Bacteria
Description: partial 16S ribosomal RNA
Rfam family: Bacterial small subunit ribosomal RNA
Source: RNAcentral
GACGAACGCUGGCGGCGUGCUUAACACAUGCAAGUCGUACGGUAAGGCCCUUUCUGGGGUACACGAGUGGCGAACGGGUGAGUAACACGUGAGUAACCUGCCCACAACUUUGGGAUAACGCUAGGAAACUGGUGCUAAUACUGGAUAUGUGCUCCUGCUGCAUGGUGGGGGUUGGAAAGCUCCGGCGGUUGUGGAUGGACUCGCGGCCUAUCAGCUUGUUGGUGGGGUAGUGGCCUACCAAGGCGGCGACGGGUAGCCGGCCUGAGAGGGUGACCGGCCACAUUGGGACUGAGAUACGGCCCAGACUCCUACGGGAGGCAGCAGUGGGGAAUAUUGCACAAUGGGCGCAAGCCUGAUGCAGCAACGCCGCGUGCGGGAUGACGGCCUUCGGGUUGUAAACCGCUUUCAGCAGGGACGAAGCUUCUUGUGACGGUACCUGCAGAAGAAGCACCGGCUAACUACGUG